AACUAGUUACAUAAGCACGACGUUAUAAAUACUUAAUUAUUUAUAAAAAAAUAUAAAUAUUUUUUAUUAUAUAGGAAACUAUAUUUAUAUUAUUAUUGUUGGACAAUACUUAGUUAUAAAAUAUUUAUUUCAAGACUAAAUUUAGUAGAUAUAUGUUUUCAAGUUUUACUUUUUAUAAAACUAAUAUCCGGUAAUAGAAAGUAAAAUUAGUUAAGUUGAUUUUAAGUGAUUGGAUUUUAAUAGACUUGAUAAAAAAAAAAUCCAAUCAGUUCGAUUAAAAUCGAAUUAGUUCAUUAGUUCGAUGGUUGAGCUGCCGCUUCGAACUAUUCAAAAGGUGUUUUUAACAUAUCCGGUUCAAAUGAUUGAAUUAAACAGUUUUAUAGGUUGGGUCACGUUUAGACGGAUCGAAUUGACCGAUUCGCCUCGAUUUUUAAAUAAUUGUU
Molecule: long non-coding RNA, 443 nt
Filed under: Ananas comosus (pineapple)
Lineage: Eukaryota; Viridiplantae; Streptophyta; Magnoliopsida; Poales; Bromeliaceae
Description: long non-coding RNA (ACOM_LNC040414)
Source: RNAcentral